RNAcentral lists this ribosomal RNA (379 nucleotides) under Cantharellus sp. 1 BKS-2015. RNAcentral describes it as "LSU rRNA". It matches the Rfam family "Bacterial large subunit ribosomal RNA", at positions 1712 to 2107 of the family's 2925-position model. The record is from RNAcentral. Lineage: Eukaryota; Fungi; Basidiomycota; Agaricomycetes; Cantharellales; Hydnaceae.
UCUCGGCAAAUUAUCCUCAUAAGCUAGACGACAUGAGGAGCCGUCUAAAGGACGGUGGCACAGAAUCGGAACCCCCGACUGUUUACUUAAAACACAGAUAUCUGCGAUGAUUAAAUUAUUUGUAUAGAUGUCGAAUUUUGCCCAAUGCCAUUAAUAUAAAGAAGGUGAGUUUAAUUUACCGACUGAAAAUCUGGUCAAUGGCGGUCUUAACUAUAAGGAUCCAAAGGUAGCAAAAUUCAUUGUCCGCUAAAUACGGUCCUGCAUGAAUAAAGUAACGAUGGGUUCACUGUCUCUACAAGUAUCUCAGUGAAAUUGAAUUAGCCGUGCAGAUGCGGUUUGCUUAUGGUUAGACGGGAAGACCCUAUGCAGCUUCUACUGA